Molecule: long non-coding RNA, 623 nt
Organism: Carassius gibelio (silver crucian carp)
Lineage: Eukaryota; Metazoa; Chordata; Actinopteri; Cypriniformes; Cyprinidae
Exons: 2
Source: RefSeq, a predicted model, not a curated record
CUGUCAUCAGGAAGCAGAAAAUGCAUGACUGUUUUUCUUUUCUGAACUAUUUGUUGUUGUUUAAUUUUUUUAAUAGUUACACAUUCAUGUUACAUGUAACUGAGGUUAUCUAGUAAGAUAUUAGCCUAAUUUUUUGAGUAAUUUCUCUCCUCAGAGCAUCCAGUAUAACUUACAUGAGUUCUCUUAAAAUCUCGAAGGCUUCACAGAGAAACACGAUGUAAGUAUUUAUUUAUUUGACAUUGAAAUAACUGAAAUGUUUUUCUGUUCUUUUUUUCUUUUAUUAUCUUCUGAGAAAUCCUAGCUUUGCCGAACCUGUUACAUGAUGAUCCUGCUGUGCUGGACUUUAUAUGAUAAAUGAGAGCUACACAGGGAUGAGUGAAUCUACAGCAGGAGAGAGGAGAAAUCCUUCAGCAUGUCAUAUCCUGCAUUAUGAUUGAUCAGAGAGAUCAUGUUGACUGACCUGUAGGAAGUGAAGGUGAUCUUCAGUGUGUGAGAGCUGCUCCAGCUCAGUGUUUCUCAUCUUUAGCUCAGUGAUCUCCUGCUCCAGCUCUUCAAUCAGCUCUUGCUCCUGUUUCUCUGCUGCUUUCUGCUGCUCCUCCAUCAUCUCCAGCAGUUCAGUCUGA